Drosophila suzukii is the source of this 877-nucleotide non-coding RNA. NCBI's taxonomy places the organism in Eukaryota, Metazoa, Arthropoda, Insecta, Diptera, Drosophilidae. The record is from RefSeq and is a predicted model, not a curated record.
AUAUGUGAAACACUAAGUAUACCUGUAGAAUAGCCCCAGGAUGUAACGUGACCAGUCCUCCGUAAUACACACCUACACACUUGGUAUUUUCACACGUGAGAGCUCAUAGCAGACGCCAGUAACCAAAAAAGUCCUUGUAUAAGGCAGCUAAGACUAACAGAACUUAUUGGAUGAUGUUAUAACUGAUACAGAAACAGUAAAGCACACUAUGUUCAACACAAGUGACGUAAAGUUAAGACUCGUUGACUUGGUGAUGGAAGAGAAAAAUCUCCAAAUAUCGCCAGCUACCCUCUCAAAAUUAUAUAGUACUCAAGGACCCAAAACGAAACUGUCACUUUUUAACAGACACGCCACCAAUUAAGGAAUUUAAAUGCAUGUGCCCUUAACAUGUACAACCUCCAACAGAAGGACGCCUGUCACUCAGGGACCCAAUUACGAAACUUUCACUUUUUAACAGACACUCGUGUAAUUAAGGCUGCAACUAGGAAAUUCUAUGCAUAUGCCCUUAACAUGUAAGCUUAAACAGAAGGAGGACGUCUGUUAAUCCUGAGGAUGAGCUAUUCCAGGUAUCCACACAUAACUGGGGGCUGCGCGAUAGAGGAUGGAGGACUUGCAUCAUACUCGUAAAUAAAUACAUCGUAUUAUGUUAUACAUGGAAGGUACUGAAGAACACAUCGCAACACAUUGAAGUACACCUCGUAUUAUAAAAUAUUCUAUUUAACCAUAUAACGUUAUCGUACCGACAUACACUACAUUAUACAUCAUACCUCGAAUUUAUAAUAUCGCAAAUGUAACACAAACACGAAUUAUAUUGCACUACUAAACCAUAUGCUGUUCAGAAGGUCGACUUAGUUAAAAUAAAUGUUUAUGCCACAAA